AGACACAGAAGAGGAGAGAGAAAGAGAUUUAGUUUUUAAAACAAAAAUUGGACUCCUACCAUAUGGACUGUUUCAUAUUCUACUGUUUUAUUUUUUUCAUAACAUGUUAUUGAACAAAUAUUAAUUGAGCAUCUAGUCUGUGCCAAGAACUGUGCUGGCUACUGGGCAUAGAACAGUGAAAAAGGAGACAUGGUCCCUCUCAAGCUCAGCAGCUGCAUUUAUUCCAGCCAAACCUUUGAGCGUUUGUAAGUUUCUGAAGCGGGUUCCCUGACCUGCAUGCAGCGUUCACACCUCCUCCUCCAGCCUGAGGUCUGGAGUCCCCACCCUGGCCACAGGUCAGAGUCUCACUGAGGAGAAGGGCCAACCCAUCACCAAUGAGAAAAGUCCUGCUGAGGCCGUGGGAAGCCACGAGAACUCCGGCCCGUCUCUCUAGAGCCAGUGGACCUCAAAUUUUAGCUGCACGGAGGGAACAUGCUGAAGUGAGAAGUCCUAAAAGCUGUGAUGCCCCAGAAGCAAUGAGCGCACCUAAAACUCCGAUCUUGUUUCUACUUACCACGAAAAGAACCAAAGCCUUUUGAAGAAAUGGCAGAUACCAGGGCUGACAUGGGGAAAGUGCCAGAAAAGCCCAGAAAGUCUUGUGCCAGAAAAUAAGGAAGUGUUCAAAGAAUGAUAGCAACAUGUCAAGAGGACAAGAGCCUGCUUGCAGGGGCUCCCGCUGGAAAAAUCUGAAAUAAUUUGAACAAAAAAAUAAAUAUUGAUGGUAAAGGAGUAUAACCUAUUGAUUAAAGUAAGAGUUCAUGAGUCUACAUGGAUUGAUUUCUAAAUAAAGAAACAAGCAAACGGAUGAGGGAACAGAAAAGCUCUCCUUACAGUAGAAAGCAGUAAACAAUGUAGAAGGAAUGCUGGAAUCAGAAAAUAAUGAAGUGAUCCUGGUGAAUACCAAGAAAAUCAUUAAGCAAGAAUCACCAAUGGAUGCUAAAACUAGUGGGUGAAAAUCUGAAGAGUAAUAGAGUAUUUAUAGGGUAUUCAUGACAGUUGGUAAAAUAUUAACAGCUGGAGAAUUGGGGAGGGUACAUAGGAAUUUUGUACUAUCCUUGCGACUUUUUGUAAGUCUGAAGUGUCAAAAUAAAAAGUUACGAAAAAAGCA
Molecule: non-coding RNA, 1147 nt
Organism: Equus caballus (horse)
Lineage: Eukaryota; Metazoa; Chordata; Mammalia; Perissodactyla; Equidae
Source: RefSeq, a predicted model, not a curated record